AGUGGAGAGUUGGUCGAGAAAAGAUCUUGAAAAAAUUUUAUGUUCUCUACUUAGCCACUCUAUUGGAUAUUAUUAAUACCUCAUGAUAUAAUUUGCUAAUUUUCUAGCUGAAUAUUAUUUGCCUUUAAAAUUGUCUAACAGAACACUUAUUCCUAAUCAAGAAAGUAUAUGAUACUAACUUUUUUCUUACUCAAGGAUGAGUAAAGUUCAAGUUGGGGGGUGAGAUCGAUACACUAAUAUAUCAUAAGAAGUAUUAAAACUAUUGAGAAAAAAGGAUAUGGGGGUGACCUAAAAAAGGGAGAUUGAGAGAGAAAAAUUAUAUAGAAAUUUUUCUAUAGAGAGGA
RNAcentral lists this long non-coding RNA (344 nucleotides) under Elaeis guineensis (African oil palm). RNAcentral's name for it is "long non-coding RNA (EGUI_LNC026048)". The record is from RNAcentral. Lineage: Eukaryota; Viridiplantae; Streptophyta; Magnoliopsida; Arecales; Arecaceae.